AAGUCGUAACAAGGUUUCCGUAGGUGAACCUGCGGAAGGAUCAUUAACACGUAUCCAACGUUAAACAACCCUGUGAACUUUAGAGGAACAGCAAUCCCGGUAAAUCAUUGCCAAACAGUUUUGAUUCGGGACCUCUGUCCAAAAGGAGUUGCAAUCGAAGGGUGGAAGCAGUGGCAUGGCUUCCCCAAGCAGUUAGUGAAUGACAGUGUCACUGACUGUGUAAGGAUAACGCCUCACGGUUGCUAGAGGUCGAUCACCGACCGGCAGACAUGUCACAGGGUCACCACGCCCCUUAAUCACUCCACUUGAAAAUGCCCCGCCUAGUGGUAACGCGCUAGGUAAAAAAAACCGAACAACUGUUAACAAUGGAUAUCUUGGUUCUC
This 383-nucleotide unclassified non-coding RNA is filed under the name fungal sp. RNAcentral describes it as "partial internal transcribed spacer region". The stretch from base 1 to 46 matches the Rfam family "Eukaryotic small subunit ribosomal RNA", at positions 1786 to 1831 of the family's 1831-position model. The record is from RNAcentral. Lineage: Eukaryota; Fungi.